This is a long non-coding RNA of Struthio camelus australis, 4264 nucleotides long. The record is from Ensembl. Lineage: Eukaryota; Metazoa; Chordata; Aves; Struthioniformes; Struthionidae.
CUUGCAAGAACACGCAUGCUAGAUGCAGACAUCAGCUCUUAGCCCUAAUAAAUGGGCUGGAGACACAAGUGUGAAGACGCUUCCAAGAAAAACCAGUUGGUCUGUUAUUCUGUCAUGCUUCCCAGCUUCACUGACCUAUUUCCUAAUUUUUUUUUUUUUUUUUUUUUUUUUAGAAAGUACUGUUUCAUUGCUGUGCUCCAAAUUUGACCCUGCCUCUUCCAAACAGCUGUACGGCAUGAACGUUUCCUUGGGAAAUGGGAAAACGAGUUUUCCAGUCCUCCUCCUGCUACUUGAGUCUGAAGCUGUCAAGGGUCACCUCGCGUCACCUUACACGACCGCAGUGCCGUGUACACGACCGCAGUGCCGUGCACCGCCGGAACGAGCGCCGCGCUCGCUUCCCGGGGCCGGAUGGCAAACGUGAGUCCCUCGGGAGGAAUUUGACUGAGCACCGGAGACACCGACUUCGGAGGCGCCCACCACUUGCAGUGGAGGAGGUGAGUGUCGCCGGCCUCCCUCGGAGCACAGCCACCGGGGGGGAAAAAGCAUAAGGUAACGCUUUUACCCCGCUUGUCCGUGUUACCAGAGUAUUUUAAUUGAAGUAUGACAAGCAAAGCCAAUUCAAAACAUUCGUCUGUGUGAGGGGUACAUCUGGCUGGCACGCUACAGGAUCGUGCGGGGAUACCCUAGCUAGCUCUCUCUGAGCUAGUUUGAGUCCUGCAAGUAAUGCAACCAGUCUCGCGUGGCACUCUGCCCAGACUAAUCUAUCUGUCUUUCCAAAGCCAGGAAGCCUGACGGGUCUGCUUUAUUCAGUGCCUCAGUUGUCGCUAACGAGCGCUGUGUAACCGGAGCCGCAGAACAGCACAACAAUCGAUUUAAAACGGCUCUUGCAAGAGCUCCUUGCAGUUGCGUUGUCGGCCCUGUUCGCAACGAUGCAAGACGAGAGUCCGCCUAGGUAGACCGACCGUCUGGCGUUAGCGCGCACGGCAACCGCACGAGCGCGACGCGAGGUAGGAAACGCAUCUCCGUGACGGAAAACGCGCGUCCUCGCGUCAGCUCCCGAGUGCCUUCAGAAACGCCAGGGUUGGUCCACCUGCGCACCCGCUAAAGGUUACAGGUAAGACAUCACGGCCUGGGGACAGUGCUCGACCUGUGCUUGAAAAAUCCCACCUGCGGUCCGGAAUGACCCUGUCUCAGCUAUAACCGCCUUUCAAAUUCUUCAGCGCGCCGUUAAGUCAGGCCUUCGGUGAGAGGGCAGCAGAGAUGCUAAGUUUUGUUGUCUGGCCCUGGCUCUUUGCUUUGACGUUAUGAUCUGCUUUUUCCCUUCUUCUGUCUGUUUAACCUGUUUGAUUUUUUUUUCAAAGCUUUCGGCCAUCUCCUCAAGUUAUUUUUCUUUCUAGGCAUUACUACGUUUUUAUUUUGAAGUGUUACGGACACGCGUGAUGCAGGCAAACUGAUAUCUAAUGCUACACUAAAGCAGAUAGACAGACAGACAGAUAGAUACAGAGGAAUCCCAGCUUCCCAGUAUCAUCAUAUUUAUUAGACGUAUCCUGUUAUACACAGGCGACCCUAAUGAAGGCAACGCAGCUGCUCAUGUGUAAAAACAGCAGAACUUGAUCCGCUGAGUUCGACGGGACCUGGCGGCUCUCCAAAUUUUCUGAACCGAACUAGUCUCGUUUCAGACGUCACCGUCACCGGUUGGAGCCAGUCCCCUCCAAUAGCAGAGUGGCGCUUCCCAGAGGCAGCGCUCUGUAGAAUUGGUGAUCAUAACACGGCCUCUGCAAAUAUGAUCUCAGUGACUCUAUGUACGCUCUCAGCUGGAGGGGAAACUAGUGUACUGUGCCUUAUGUAAUAACUUGCAAAACAGUACUUACCAGAACGUGUCAUAGCCCGAGUUCUUUGCGCAGGCCCAUUUGUAAAAGUCGCGGAGAAAUGCCAGUUCAACAGACGGUAACGAGUCAGAAACCUGCACCUCUCUUCCUGAGCGCUCUCCUCGAAACUGCAGUUUCAGUUUGUCCCCCGACCCCUCUCUAUCUAGCCUUUCUUCUCAAACUUGGAAAGAGCAAGCAGAAGUACCUAAUCCGGCUGUUGGAGGCCCUCCCUGCUGGGUCCUCUCCAGAGCACGGUGACCCAAACCUCCGUCCCUGCUCCCGCCGGGACAUCGCCAUGCCCUGCAUCCGGGCUAAGACUAGAGCGCAGAGGAACUUCGGAGAGGUUUUUCGGUCCCUGUGCCUCGGUAAGUGGCAACGCUCAUAGGUGGUCUUUUCCGUUUGUCUCCACGGCUAAUGCUCUCCUCGGCUCCGAUCGUUUCCCGCCUCGAGUACUCCUGCGUGCCUUUCGCUGGUUUCGGGAAAAGGAUGUUUUCAGACUGCCCGUACGCAGGCAGCGUCUUGCUGAAAAUCGCUUCUCCCUUAGCUAAAGCGGCUGCACUAGCUCUCUUCCCAUCUGUCCUCAUAUGUGAAAAUACAAUCCCGUUUUCUGUGAUGUUACAAAAGUGGUUAGCCUGAUGGUGAGAAACAGCACACGAGCGUUUUGGCCACGGGCUCCUUGCGCGUUCCUCCCUGUUUGUAUUGUCUGCAUGUUGUACCUGGAAAACGUGUUGUCUCCAUCCUGUGGAGUUCAGAGUCUCUUUCUUUGCGCCGCCUUUGUGCAGCGCCUGGCACGAAGGGGUUGUAAUAGUAAGGGUUUGCAAUUGGCAUGAAAGCCUAAAUUACAAUGAUGUCUUUCAGUUAUACGGAACGAAUGUGAAUGCUAUUUACAGUAACCUGGAAUAGCAAGUAUCCUUCUGGGGUGUUUCUUCUGCACGGAGACGUUGAUGCUUCCUGCAGUUGAAGCAGAUAUCUAUCUAUCUAUCAUCUGGAACGUCGAGCCUCUGGGCAAUGUGGGGAGCUGAAAAUCCAGAGGGGUGAGAUAGACAAGCUGCCAACGAUUGUUUUCAAAGGUUAAAAAAGAGAAUAAUUAGUAUCCUAGGACUUUUAAGGGGAAAAGUGCAACAAACGAGUCGGUGGUGAGAUGCUGGAAGCUGCCGCUGUUUUGUUUCUGUACCACCUGGCAGCCCAAAAGGAUGCAACUAAGGAUAAAAAAUCUGCUAACGUUUGCUAUUGUAUCGUUAACCCCAUGGAGCGGUGUCAUCGUUGUAAAAGGUAAACUUCCCGGUUGCGUGGCGGACCGGGCUGGGAGGAAGCAGUUUUACCCAAGUGACGUGUUGAGCCCAACUCAUACAGUAACUGCAACACCUGUGUGAGAUGGAAAAUGGUAUCAUUCCUACUGUUAUUCGCUGAAACGCACACGGGUUCAGUACUGGGAGAAGGAACUCAUCGCUAUCUAGCCCUGACCGAUAUGCCAGCAGGUGACUGCUUUUGGAGCCAGUACUUUGGCCUCAGAGAAGACUAUGUGCAAACAUACAGACUCUAUUGUGUCUUCCUCAGGACCCUUUUUCUGCCAGCAUGUCAAUUAGAUGCUAAUCGAAAGGUGCGCUGGGAAAACGUCUCCUGGCGCACGGCGGUCUGGAGCAACGCGCAGCACGUUCAUCGUUAUGUUAGUGUGGGAUCCCCAAAGGCAGCAUUGCCUUCAAGGCGUACUUGAGCACGCCCAAGUUUUCUCUUGUGUCGGUGGCAAAGCCACUGGUAAGAUCUGUCAUUCAUAAAAACGCAAACACUCCCUAGGCUAUGCAGACCACUUGGACAUCGAAAAGUAAAAUAACGAUGUGCCUUAGUGGGCUAUUUUUUUUUUUCCACGUGCAAGUCAGGAGUGGUUUGUUAUGUGUGUAUGUCCACUGUUGUUCCCCUUUUAGAGAUGACCUAAAUGAGGCACGGAGCUUGCGGCACUAUGUGUUUAAAUGGCGCUAGCUGGACCCCUGUGCCGUUUGGCCGCUCCCAGUGGUAAAGCACUGGUGAGUCGCUGGGAUUUUUCACCCGGAUACGGAGUUGCACCUAACGGUAAGUCCUGUGUGUUCCCUAGCUAAACAAAGGCACAGAAAGCGAAGAAGGCAAAAGUGGCGCAAACUCCGGACACCGUUGAAGUCACUUACCGCAAGGCAGCUCAAGGGCGGGGGACAGACGCGCGGCUCCUCAGUCUCAGCGUGUUCCAGCCCUCACAUCAGGUGAUCCUCCAGAAACUUGCGCGCCUUUCCAGAGUCACGUGAACCUCUUCUCUGAAAAGAGAGAGAGGCAACUCUCUGGCAUGGUAUUCCCGCACGAGUAAACGUCCGUGGACUUUCAGGUAACCAAAUAAUAAAGCUGAAGAUGUAACUGAGAACGACUUUGCC